GACGAACGCUGGCGGCGUGCUUAACACAUGCAAGUCGAGCGGUAAGGCCCUUUCGGGGGUACACGAGCGGCGAACGGGUGAGUAACACGUGGGUGACCUGCCCUCAGCUCUGGGAUAAGCCUGGGAAACUGGGUCUAAUACCGGAUACGACUUCGCAUCGCAUGGUGUGGGGUGGAAAGUUUUUCGGCUGGGGAUGGGCCCGCGGCCUAUCAGCUUGUUGGUGGGGUGAUGGCCUACCAAGGCGACGACGGGUAGCCGGCCUGAGAGGGCGACCGGCCACACUGGGACUGAGACACGGCCCAGACUCCUACGGGAGGCAGCAGUGGGGAAUAUUGCGCAAUGGGCGGAAGCCUGACGCAGCGACGCCGCGUGGGGAUGACGGCCU
RNAcentral lists this ribosomal RNA (385 nucleotides) under uncultured bacterium. RNAcentral's name for it is "bacterial SSU rRNA". It matches the Rfam family "Bacterial small subunit ribosomal RNA", at positions 28 to 417 of the family's 1533-position model. The record is from RNAcentral.